RNAcentral lists this ribosomal RNA (484 nucleotides) under uncultured bacterium. RNAcentral's name for it is "partial 16S ribosomal RNA". It matches the Rfam family "Bacterial small subunit ribosomal RNA", at positions 30 to 507 of the family's 1533-position model. The record is from RNAcentral.
AUUGAACGCUGGCGGCAGGCCUAACACAUGCAAGUCGAGCGGAUGAAGGGAGCUUGCUCCUGGAUUCAGCGGCGGACGGGUGAGUAAUGCCUAGGAAUCUGCCUGGUAGUGGGGGAUAACGUCCGGAAACGGGCGCUAAUACCGCAUAAGUCCUGAGGGAGAAAGUGGGGGAUCUUCGGACCUCACGCUCUCAGAUGAGUCUAGGUCGGAUUAGCUAGUUGGUGGGGUAAAGGCCUACCAAGGCGACGAUCCGUAACUGGUCUGAGAGGAUGAUCAGACACACUGGAACUGAGACACGGUCCAGACUCCUACGGGAGGCAGCAGUGGGGAAUAUUGGACAAUGGGCGAAAGCCUGAUCCAGCCAUGCCGCGUGUGUGAAGAAGGUCUUCGGAUUGUAAAGCACUUUAAGUUGGGAGGAAGGGCAGUAAGUUAAUACCUUGCUGUUUUGACGGUACCAACAGAAUAAGCACCGGCUAACUUCGUG